This is a long non-coding RNA of Gadus macrocephalus (Pacific cod), 1645 nucleotides long. RefSeq lists it as uncharacterized. The record is from RefSeq and is a predicted model, not a curated record. The transcript has 2 exons. Lineage: Eukaryota; Metazoa; Chordata; Actinopteri; Gadiformes; Gadidae.
CACUUCAAGAAGUGUUACAGCGGCUUACAAAUGCAGGUCUGCAUCUCAAUGAUAAAAAGUGCCAGUUCAGACAGUCCAGUCUGCGCUUUCUCGGUCACUUAUGCCGCUUUUCCACCGCACAUGUAGCUCGACACGACUCGACACGGUAGCAGCACGGGUCGUUUUCCACCGCAAAUAGUACCUCCUGGACGUGGGCGGGGUCGGCUGCGCGAAAGGGCCGUGACGUAUUUUUGUACGCGACGCAAACAACACCUACGCAACCCACACAUGGACAGAACCCACAUAACAACAAUGGAGGACAUCGAUGCGAUGGUAUUCGUGCUGCUCGGUCUGGUGCUUUUUGUCGGACACAAAAGAGAAGAGCGUCAGAGAAGGCUGCACGCGGCGAGACAAAAUACACUGGAAAAGUCCCGGAGAGUGUUGGAAUAUAUACAACAGUGUGAAGCCGAAGAUGAGAGGAAUCAAGCCUCCAAGAAAAGACGCAUCUAGAUGCUACUCUCGUCACAACAUUUCCGCCGCAAACCGUCGGUCUGGGCGCACAACCGAUCCUCGGAAUGGUGGGAUGUGAUUGUUCCCCGGCUUCACAAACGAGCAGUGGGUGGAGAACUUCAGGAUGUCUGAAGAAACGUUUGGCUUCUUGUCCAACAAACUGCGUCCAGUUUUGGAGCGGCAAGACACCAAUUUCCGCGGAUGUGUGCCCCUGAAGAAGAGGGUGGCCAUUGCACUGUGGAAGCUCGCUACUGGCUCUGAGUAUGGGAGUAUUGGACAUCUUUUUGGAGUCGGCAUCACAACUGUGUGCAGGAUUUUUGUGCUGCAGCAGAGACAUUGUUGGUGCCAGAACAAAUCCGUUUUCCAGACGAGGUGAAGUUCCGCGAAAUGGCUACCUACAUUGAGAACAGGUGGGGGCUCCCACACUGUGUUGGUGCUAUCGAUGGAUCCCACAUACCAAUCCUUGCACCACAGGACUAUCACUGUGACUUCUUCAACCGUAAAGGCUGGCACUCCAUCCUCCUUCAAGGUGUUGUCGAUGGAAAGGGGCUGUUUUGGAACGUGUUUGCUGGACUGGCAGGGAGCAUGCAUGAUGCCAGGGUUCUGUGAGUGUCCAAACUGUGGGAGUUAGCCAGCCGAGGGAACCACUUCCCAGCUCGCACCAGGAACAUUGGAGGGGUGACUGCUGGCUAUUACAUCCUAGGAGACUCAGCACAUCCUUUGCAGAACUGGCUCUUGAAACCCUUCCAAGACACAGGACGACUUACAGCAGAACAGCAGAUGUUCAACAGAAAAUUCAGUAGAGUAAGGGUGGUUGUUGAAAACGCUUUUGGCCGGCUUAAAGGAAGGUGGCGGUGCCUCCUGAAAAGGAACGACUCUGAUCUCCAACUGGUGAAGUCUAUGGUUAUGACUUGCUGUGCUCUGCACAACCUUUGUGAAAAUCAUGGAGAGACUUAUGAGACCGAGUUGGAUGUACAACCAGCAGAGCCUGGGGUGGCAGUGGCACAGGAUGUAGAGGGCAUCAAUGUACGGGAGGGUCUAAUGCAGUUCUUGUUGGCGAAUAAUUAACAUGUUAGAAUAAAUUUUGAAUUUGCCAUGUAGGUAUACACUUCACAUUUUGUAUGUUAUUGUGAGAACAUUAAACUUUUGUACUUUU